This 1084-nucleotide long non-coding RNA is filed under the name Numida meleagris (helmeted guineafowl). Its description in RNAcentral is "lncRNA (ENSNMEG00000010675.1)". The record is from RNAcentral. Lineage: Eukaryota; Metazoa; Chordata; Aves; Galliformes; Numididae.
AGAGAGCGGGGGCAGCAGUGCCGCUGCUCGGGGAGGCGGGGGACCGCGUGGAGCCACAGGGCAGGCCCUGAGGGAAAGAAAGAAAGUGCCGGGAAAGGAGGGAGAGGGAUGGCAGGAAGGGAAAUAAAAGAUGUGCGCAGUGACGUGGAUGCUCUGCCCCAGGUCCUGCGGAGGUCAGUGACCUCAGACAACGCGUGGGAGCGCAAGAGGGCACUGCAGGCCUGCUCCCAGCUGCUGGCUGCUUGUGAAGAGCUUCGAAGAGGAGAUGCCUGCAAACACUUUGGCUCCUUGGUGGGAUUGCUGGCGCCGCUGACGUGUGACCCCAUGCCCACGUCCCGCCAGUUGGCCGUCACCUGCCUGAGCUCCCUUCUGCGAAUGCAAGGUGAGUAGAGCAGGCGUGCGCCAGCCCUCUGCUCUCCUCCGCGGCACUACCAGGACCCCGCGGGCAGGGCCCUGUUCACAGGAGGUAGAGGCCCCGUGUGCAGCUGCCUUCUUAGCCCCACCCUGUCCUCUGUCUCUCCCCCGUGGCAAGCGGUUCCGUUUCCAGAAGCAUGACUUCCCUUUUCUCCCCGUGCUCUUUCCAGCCAAGGAGACCAACGGAGUCAUCGAGACGAGAGACAUCGGGAGUCUGCGUGAGGGGCUGAAUGCCUGCAGCACCGUCUCUCAGCUCCAGUCCUCAUCCAAAAUCGCGAGGGUCUUUUGCAGCAGCUUCCCCCUGGAACACGCCGUGGACUUCAUGACGGCCAUCAAGGAGACCUUCCGGGAAGCCAAAGGAAUGCGUGCGCGUGCUGCUGGGAAGUGGAUGAUCACCUUCCUGCAGAUGUACAGAAAGGACAUCCACUGGGACGUGCCACUGAUCCUCUACAUCCUGCGCAGCUGUGUGCGCUCCAUGCAGCAGAGCAUGUUCCUGCCCAUCCUGUGCCAGGCAGUGGUCAUCCUCACACACUGUCACGCAGAGCUCGCCAUUGACAACUUCUUCCGGCUGCUUGAGCCCACAGACAGUGACACGUGGAGGAAAAGAAUAAGAGCAUUUUCUCUUCGAGAGGGGAGCCGGUAGAGGAAUGCAAAGAACAGGAAAGCCGAG